This 288-nucleotide ribosomal RNA is filed under the name Triticum aestivum (bread wheat). RNAcentral describes it as "partial small subunit ribosomal RNA". Lineage: Eukaryota; Viridiplantae; Streptophyta; Magnoliopsida; Poales; Poaceae. The record is from RNAcentral.
GGAAGUAACUGACUUGUUGUUAACUUCGAUAAUAUGGAAGUAAUUGACAUGAUGAAGAAUGGAGGACAUACAGCGGGAGCGGCGGCAGCUGUGUUUGAUGAUUGUUAUUUUUUGGUUUGUGAUUUUUCGUUAGUUAGAUUUGAACACUGUAAUAGGAAGGCAAAUAAAGUAGCUCAUGAAGUUGCUAGAGUAGCCAAAUUUUCUGAGACAAGGGACUGGUUUGAGGAACCUAUGAACGAUAUUGUAAAUUUUCUUAUAGACGAUGUAACCAUUAUUACUAAUAAAUAA